This 253-nucleotide ribosomal RNA is filed under the name uncultured bacterium. RNAcentral describes it as "partial 16S ribosomal RNA". It matches the Rfam family "Bacterial small subunit ribosomal RNA", at positions 524 to 776 of the family's 1533-position model. The record is from RNAcentral.
UACGUAGGGUGCGAGCGUUGUCCGGAAUUAUUGGGCGUAAAGAGCUUGUAGGCGGUUUGUCGCGUCUGCUGUGAAAAUCCGGGGCUCAACCCCGGACUUGCAGUGGGUACGGGCAGACUAGAGUGUGGUAGGGGAGACUGGAAUUCCUGGUGUAGCGGUGAAAUGCGCAGAUAUCCGGAGGAACACCAAAGGCGAAGGCAGUGUCCUGGGGAGUACCUGACGCUCAGGUGCGAAAGCCAGGGGAGCGAACGGG